Molecule: non-coding RNA, 230 nt
Organism: Pelobates cultripes (western spadefoot toad)
Lineage: Eukaryota; Metazoa; Chordata; Amphibia; Anura; Pelobatidae
Source: the annotation of a GenBank genome assembly
GUGGACUAACAGUUAUGUAUUUGUAACCUGACAACUGGACGUACAGGAACAGAGGGGUUGAGGGCCCUGCUCAAUGAGCUUACAUUCUAGAGUGAGUGGGGUAUAGUGACACAAAGGGUAAAAGUCAGGGUACGAAAUAGGUUGUUAGAAAAGUAUUCACUGAGGGCUUAGUGGGUAAUUUUUGACAGUUGCAGGAGAGGAGUCAUGGUGGGUGGGGGAUAAAAACCUGC